UGGGGAAUUUUGGACAAUGGGCGAAAGCCUGAUCCAGCAAUGCUGCGUGUGUGAAGAAGGCCUUCGGGUUGUAAAGCACUUUUGUCCGGAAAGAAAUGGCUCUGGUUAAUACCUGGGGUCGAUGACGGUACCGGAAGAAUAAGGACCGGCUAACUACGUGCCAGCAGCCGCGGUAAUACGUAGGGUCCAAGCGUUAAUCGGAAUUACUGGGCGUACAGCGUGCGCAGGCGGUUGUGCAAGACCGAUGUGAAAUCCCCGAGCUUAACUUGGGAAUUGCAUUGGUGACUGCACGGCUAGAGUGUGUCAGAGGGGGGUAGAAUUCCACGUGUAGCAGUGAAAUGCGUAGAGAUGUGGAGGAAUACCGAUGGCGAAGGCAGCCCCCUGGGAUAACACUGACGCUCAUGCACGAAAGCGUGGGGAGCAAACAGG
RNAcentral lists this ribosomal RNA (429 nucleotides) under bacterium. Its description in RNAcentral is "partial 16S ribosomal RNA". It matches the Rfam family "Bacterial small subunit ribosomal RNA", at positions 355 to 776 of the family's 1533-position model. The record is from RNAcentral.